RNAcentral lists this transfer RNA (69 nucleotides) under Ictidomys tridecemlineatus (thirteen-lined ground squirrel). Its description in RNAcentral is "Spermophilus tridecemlineatus (thirteen-lined ground squirrel) tRNA". It matches the Rfam family "tRNA". From Rfam's summary of the family: Transfer RNA (tRNA) molecules are approximately 80 nucleotides in length. Their secondary structure includes four short double-helical elements and three loops (D, anti-codon, and T loops). Further hydrogen bonds mediate the characteristic L-shaped molecular structure. tRNAs have two regions of fundamental functional importance: the anti-codon, which is responsible for specific mRNA codon recognition, and the 3' end, to which the tRNAs corresponding amino acid is attached (by aminoacyl-tRNA synthetases). tRNAs cope with the degeneracy of the genetic code in two manners: having more than one tRNA (with a specific anti-codon) for a particular amino acid; and 'wobble' base-pairing, i.e. permitting non-standard base-pairing at the 3rd anti-codon position. The record is from Rfam by way of RNAcentral. Lineage: Eukaryota; Metazoa; Chordata; Mammalia; Rodentia; Sciuridae.
GGUGUUAUGGCUCAGCGGUAGAGCGCUCGCCUUGCAUGUGCGAGGCCCUGAGUUUGAUCCUCAGCACCA